CCUACGGGAGGCAGCAGUGGGGAAUAUUGCACAAUGGAGGGAACUCUGAUGCAGCGACGCCGCGUGAGUGAAGAAGUAAUUCGUUAUGUAAAGCUCUAUCAGCAGGGAAGAAAGUGACGGUACCUGAAAAAGAAGCUCCGGCUAAAUACGUGCCAGCAGCCGCGGUAAUACGUAUGGAGCAAGCGUUAUCCGGAUUUACUGGGUGUAAAGGGAGAGUAGGUGGCAGAGCAAGUCCGAAGUGAAAACCCAAAGCUCAACUAUGGGAAUGCUUUAGAAACUGCUCAGCUAGAGUGCAGGAGAGGCAAGUGGAAUUCUUAGUGUAGCGAUGAAAUGCGUAGAUAUUGCGCAGAACUCCGAUUGCGAAGGCAGCAUACCGGCGGCGAUCUGACGCUGAGGCACGAAAGCGUGGGUAUCGAACAGGAUUAGAUACCCGUGUAGUC
RNAcentral lists this ribosomal RNA (440 nucleotides) under uncultured bacterium. Its description in RNAcentral is "partial 16S ribosomal RNA". It matches the Rfam family "Bacterial small subunit ribosomal RNA", at positions 338 to 795 of the family's 1533-position model. The record is from RNAcentral.